RNAcentral lists this ribosomal RNA (495 nucleotides) under uncultured bacterium. RNAcentral describes it as "partial 16S ribosomal RNA". It matches the Rfam family "Bacterial small subunit ribosomal RNA", at positions 28 to 507 of the family's 1533-position model. The record is from RNAcentral.
GACGAACGCUGGCGGCGUGCCUAAUACAUGCAAGUAGAACGCUGAAGGAGGAGCUUGCUUCUCUGGAUGAGUUGCGAACGGGUGAGUAACGCGUAGGUAACCUGCCUGGUAGUGGGGGAUAACUAAUGGAAACGAUAGCUAAUACCGCAUAAUAGCAGUUGUUGCAUGAUAACUGUUUGAAAGGUGCAAUUGCACCGCUACCAGAUGGACCUGCGUUGUAUUAGCUAGUUGGUGGGGUAACGGCUCACCAAGGCGACGAUACAUAGCCGACCUGAGAGGGUGAUCGGCCACACUGGGACUGAGACACGGCCCAGACUCCUACGGGAGGCAGCAGUAGGGAAUCUUCGGCAAUGGACGGAAGUCUGACCGAGCAACGCCGCGUGAGUGAAGAAGGUUUUCGGAUCGUAAAGCUCUGUUGUAAGAGAAGAACGAGUGUGAGAGUGGAAAGUUCACAAUGUGACGGUAUCUUACCAGAAAGGGACGGCUAACUACGUG